This 1145-nucleotide long non-coding RNA is filed under the name Mytilus galloprovincialis (Mediterranean mussel). The record is from RNAcentral. Lineage: Eukaryota; Metazoa; Mollusca; Bivalvia; Mytilida; Mytilidae.
AAACAAAUUGUAUUGUGGAUGAUGCAGAAAUUUCAAUAGUUUAAAACGUGAUUCUUUUGUUAUUCGCUUUGACUUUUUCUUUAAUUUAAAUACCAGACGUUCAAGAUCAGGUAUACGAAAUAUCGUAUAUGUUUGUAUUGUUAGGUAAGGAAGACAAUCAGACAAUGUUUUCUGAACAUUGCUUUAUUAAAGUCCUACCCAUUGUGGAUAGACAUGGUCUUCAAAAUUAAGUAUUCGUUCAAAUCGUUAACCCUUUUUUGCAACAUCUCUUGAGUACACGACUACGCCACUAGUCAAGUAACCAAUACACCAACUAAACGUUUCUAUUGUCAUUAUGAUAUGGUCACAAGCAACGACAGUAGCCAUAUCAAAUUCUCGUUUACCUAAGGAUAUAAAUUCUACAGGAACAUGAGAAGGCAUAUUAUUUUUUUACCAAGCCAUACCAUCUGAUAUAACCAGAAAUAAUACAGUUGCAAACUUGUUAGCGUAAUAACUAACAAAUCUAUUUAAAAACUCGGAUGAAGCAAUGUUGAAUCCAUCGUGGUUUCCAACUUUAUCCCCUCUUCUGAUAUGAACUCCUACCAAAAUAAUAUUCUUGCGUGAACUAAUUUUUCGCCUCUGUAGUAUUCCUUAAAUCGUCUGAUCUGCAGUAUUCUGUAUAUUCUAUCGAAAUGUUAAUUGCUUCCGAAUCUGCCUAUCAUACAUGUCAAAAUAUGUCCAUGACUGAAGUCCAGUUCCAAGUUGAAUAUUAUCUUCAGAAAUAAAAUUUAAUAUAAUUUUGUUGUGUGUCGGAGAUGCUUUAUCUAAAACUUUUCGAAACCCCUUACAUACGCCUUUUGGUCUAUUUUAUGUCACAUGUAUUGCAAACACUUUUCGGAUUUCAGCAUCUGAAGGUACGAUAAGCUCCAUUUGUUUCGUCCUUGCAACAGCAAAGGAAGUAGAAAAUUGAAACAAUCGAUGUCCGCGACCACCUUGUAAAAUAGGACAUAUUGACCCCUUUUGUUUUGUUGUAACUCCAAUAAUGUGUGUUGUUGAUAUGUUCCUCCUAAAUAAAGGUACUGGUAAAUUUACUGCCGUUGAUAAAUCGAACAGGGGUCUGAGGAGAAGGUUAACAGAAAUUAGCAACAGGAUACUUUAAAUGUAAA